GUGGGUUUAGCUCAGUUGGUUAGAGCGCCAGAUUGUGGCUCUGGAGGUCGUGGGUUCGACUCCCACAACUCACCCCA
Molecule: transfer RNA, 77 nt
Filed under: Candidatus Onthenecus intestinigallinarum
Lineage: Bacteria; Bacillati; Bacillota; Clostridia; Eubacteriales
Description: tRNA-His
Rfam family: tRNA
About the family: Transfer RNA (tRNA) molecules are approximately 80 nucleotides in length. Their secondary structure includes four short double-helical elements and three loops (D, anti-codon, and T loops).
Source: RNAcentral